UAGGGUCAGCGAUUGGGGUGAAGUCGUAACAAGGUAGCCGUAGGAGAACCUGCGGCUGGAUCACCUCCUUUCUAUGGAGAAA
RNAcentral lists this ribosomal RNA (82 nucleotides) under Clostridium botulinum. RNAcentral describes it as "partial 16S ribosomal RNA". The stretch from base 1 to 71 matches the Rfam family "Bacterial small subunit ribosomal RNA", at positions 1463 to 1533 of the family's 1533-position model. RNAcentral also lists the same sequence under 1 other name. Lineage: Bacteria; Bacillati; Bacillota; Clostridia; Eubacteriales; Clostridiaceae. The record is from RNAcentral.